AGUGAACGCUGGCGGUAGGCCUAACACAUGCAAGUCGAACGGCAGCACAGUAAGAGCUUGCUCUUACGGGAGGCGAGUGGCAGACGGGUGAGGAAUACAUCGGAAUCUACUUUUUCGUGGGGGAAAACGUAGGGAAACUUACGCUAAUACCGCAUACGACCUACGGGUGAAAGAAGGGGAUCUUCGGACCUUGCGCGAUUGAAUGAGCCGAUGUCGGAUUAGCUAGUUGGCGGGGUAAAGGCCCACCACGGCGACGAUCCGUAGCUGGUCUGCGAGGAUGAUCGGCCACACUGGAACGUAGACACGGUCCAGACUCCUGCGAGAGGCAGCAGUGGGGAAUAUUAGGCAAUGGGCGCAAGCCUGAUCCAGCCAUACCGCGUGGGUGAAGAAGGCCUUCGGUUUGUAAAGCCCUUUUGUUGGGAAAGAAAAUCAGCAAGUUAAUACCCCGCUGUUCUGACGGUACCCAAAGAAUAAGCACCGGCUAACUACGUG
Molecule: ribosomal RNA, 492 nt
Filed under: uncultured bacterium
Lineage: Bacteria
Description: partial 16S ribosomal RNA
Rfam family: Bacterial small subunit ribosomal RNA
Source: RNAcentral